This 140-nucleotide ribosomal RNA is filed under the name Bacillus subtilis. Its description in RNAcentral is "partial 16S ribosomal RNA". It matches the Rfam family "Bacterial small subunit ribosomal RNA", at positions 1 to 136 of the family's 1533-position model. Lineage: Bacteria; Bacillati; Bacillota; Bacilli; Caryophanales; Bacillaceae. The record is from RNAcentral.
UUUAUCGGAGAGUUUGAUCCUGGCUCAGGACGAACGCUGGCGGCGUGCCUAAUACAUGCAAGUCGAGCGGACAGAUGGGAGCUUGCUCCCUGAUGUUAGCGGCGGACGGGUGAGUAACACGUGGGUAACCUGCCUGUAAG